AACGAACGCUGGCGGCAUGCCUAACACAUGCCAGUCGAACGAGACCUUCGGGUCUGGUGGCUCACGGGUGCGUAACGCGUGGGAACCUGCCCUUAGGUUCGGAAUAACUCCCCGAAAUGGGUGCUAAUACCGGGUACUGUUUUCGGACCAAACAUUUAUCGCCUUUGGGUGGGCCCGCGUUGGAUUAGCUGGUUGGUAGGGUAAAAGCCUACCAGGGAGACGAUCCAUGCCUGGGCUGCUAGGAGGAUAAGCCACACUGGGACUGAGACACAGCCCAGACUGGUAGGGGAGGGAGCAGUGGGGAAUAUUGGAGGAUGGGCGAAAGCCUGAUCAAGCAAUGUGGGGUGAGUGAUGAAGGGGUUAGGGUUGUAAAGCUCUUUUAGCCGGGAUGAUAAUGACAGUACCGGGAGAAUAAGCUCCGGCUAACUACGUG
RNAcentral lists this ribosomal RNA (433 nucleotides) under uncultured bacterium. RNAcentral describes it as "partial 16S ribosomal RNA". It matches the Rfam family "Bacterial small subunit ribosomal RNA", at positions 29 to 507 of the family's 1533-position model. The record is from RNAcentral.